This 476-nucleotide ribosomal RNA is filed under the name uncultured organism. RNAcentral describes it as "partial 16S ribosomal RNA". It matches the Rfam family "Bacterial small subunit ribosomal RNA", at positions 333 to 800 of the family's 1533-position model. The record is from RNAcentral.
ACACUCCUGCGGGAGGCAGCAGUGGGGAAUAUUGCACAAUGGGCGCAAGCCUGAUGCAGCCAUGCCGCGUGUAUGAAGAAGGCCUUCGGGUUGUAAAGUACUUUCAGCGGGGAGGAAGGCGAUAAGGUUAAUAACCUUGUCGAUUGACGUUACCCGCAGAAGAAGCACCGGCUAACUCCGUGCCAGCAGCCGCGGUAAUACGGAGGGUGCAAGCGUUAAUCGGAAUUACUGGGCGUAAAGCGCACGCAGGCGGUCUGUCAAGUCGGAUGUGAAAUCCCCGGGCUCAACCUGGGAACUGCAUUCGAAACUGGCAGGCUAGAGUCUUGUAGAGGGGGGUAGAAUUCCAGGUGUAGCGGUGAAAUGCGUAGAGAUCUGGAGGAAUACCGGUGGCGAAGGCGGCCCCCUGGACAAAGACUGACGCUCAGGUGCGAAAGCGUGGGGAGCAAACAGGAGUAGAAACCCCAGUAGUCCCAUGA